Molecule: ribosomal RNA, 226 nt
Filed under: uncultured bacterium
Lineage: Bacteria
Description: partial 16S ribosomal RNA
Rfam family: Bacterial small subunit ribosomal RNA
Source: RNAcentral
CGGAACACGUACAGAACCUUCCUUUAAGCGGGGGAUAGCCCAUAGAAAUGUGGAUUAAUACCCCAUAGUAAUGCUGGUUGGCAUCAACUGGUAUUUAAAGAUUUAUCACUUAAAGAUGGCUGUGCGGCUGAUUAGGUAGUUGGUGAGGGUAACGGCCCACCAAGCCAGCGAUCAGUAACUGGUGUGAGAGCAAGACCAGUCACACGGGCACUGAGACACGGGCCCG